UACGGAGGAUGCGAGCGUUAUCCGGAUUUAUUGGGUUUAAAGGGUGCGUAGGUUGUUUUUUAAGUCAGCGGUAAAAUGUCCGGGCUCAACCCGGGCCGGCCGUUGAAACUGGGGAUCUUGAGUGGGCGAGAAGUAUGCGGAAUGCGCGGUGUAGCGGUGAAAUGCAUAGAUAUCGCGCAGAACUCCGAUUGCGAAGGCAGCAUGCCGGCUCCACACUGACGCUGAGGCGCGAAAGCGUGGGGAGCAAACAGG
Molecule: ribosomal RNA, 252 nt
Filed under: uncultured Bacteroidales bacterium
Lineage: Bacteria; Pseudomonadati; Bacteroidota; Bacteroidia; Bacteroidales
Description: partial 16S ribosomal RNA
Rfam family: Bacterial small subunit ribosomal RNA
Source: RNAcentral